AGCGAACGCUGGCGGCAGGCUUAACACAUGCAAGUCGAGCGGGCGUACGAAUACGUCAGCGGCAGACGGGUGAGUAACGCGUGGGAACGUACCUUUUGGUUCGGAACAACACAGGGAAACUUGUGCUAAUACCGGAUAAGCCCUUACGGGGAAAGAUUUAUCGCCGAAAGAUCGGCCCGCGUCUGAUUAGCUAGUUGGUAGGGUAAUGGCCUACCAAGGCGACGAUCAGUAGCUGGUCUGAGAGGAUGAUCAGCCACAUUGGGACUGAGACACGGCCCAAACUCCUACGGGAGGCAGCAGUGGGGAAUAUUGGACAAUGGGGGCAACCCUGAUCCAGCCAUGCCGCGUGAGUGAUGAAGGCCCUAGGGUUGUAAAGCUCUUUUGUGCGGGAAGAUAAUGACGGUACCGCAAGAAUAAGCCCCGGCUAACUUCGUGC
This 436-nucleotide ribosomal RNA is filed under the name alpha proteobacterium S24516. RNAcentral describes it as "bacterial SSU rRNA". It matches the Rfam family "Bacterial small subunit ribosomal RNA", at positions 29 to 508 of the family's 1533-position model. The record is from RNAcentral. Lineage: Bacteria; Pseudomonadati; Pseudomonadota; Alphaproteobacteria.